Molecule: ribosomal RNA, 462 nt
Filed under: uncultured bacterium
Lineage: Bacteria
Description: bacterial SSU rRNA
Rfam family: Bacterial small subunit ribosomal RNA
Source: RNAcentral
GACGAACGCUGGCGGCGUGCUUAACGCAUGCAAGUCGAGCUAUGAAACUUUCUUCGGGAAGUGGAUUAGCGGCGGACGGGUGAGUAACACGUGGGCAACCUGCCUCAAAGAGGGGGAUAGCCUUCCGAAAGGAAGAUUAAUACCGCAUAAUAUAUUUGGAGCGCAUGCUUUAAAUAUUAAAGAUUUAUCGCUUUGAGAUGGGCCCGCGGCGCAUUAGCUAGUUGGUAAGGUAAUGGCUUACCAAGGCGACGAUGCGUAGCCGACCUGAGAGGGUGAUCGGCCACAUUGGAACUGAGACACGGUCCAGACUCCUACGGGAGGCAGCAGUGGGGAAUAUUGCGCAAUGGGGGAAACCCUGACGCAGCAACGCCGCGUGAGUGAUGAAGGUUUUCGGAUCGUAAAACUCUGUCUUCUGGGACGAUAAUGACGGUACCAGAGGAGGAAGCCACGGCUAACUACGUG